RNAcentral lists this ribosomal RNA (468 nucleotides) under uncultured Alphaproteobacteria bacterium. RNAcentral describes it as "bacterial SSU rRNA". It matches the Rfam family "Bacterial small subunit ribosomal RNA", at positions 8 to 524 of the family's 1533-position model. Lineage: Bacteria; Pseudomonadati; Pseudomonadota; Alphaproteobacteria. The record is from RNAcentral.
AGAGUUUGAUCCUGGCUCAAGAUGAACGCUGGCGGCGUGCUUAACACAUGCAAGUCGAACGAACCUUCGGGUUAGUGGCGGACGGGUGCGUAACACGUGGGAAUUUGCCCUUUAGUCUGGGAUAACAGUUGGAAACGACUGCUAAUACCGGAUACGCCCUACGGGGGAAAGAUUUAUUGCUAAAGGAUAAGCCCGCGGCUGAUUAGGUAGUUGGUGAGGUAAGAGCUCACCAAGCUGAUGAUCAGUAGCUGGUCUGAGAGGAUGAUCAGCCACACUGGGACUGAGACACGGCCCAGACUCCUACGGGAGGCAGCAGUGGGGAAUAUUGGACAAUGGGGGCAACCCUGAUCCAGCCAUGCCGCGUGAGUGAAGAAGGCCUUAGGGUUGUAAAGCUCUUUCGCUCGUGAAGAUAAUGACUGUAGCGAGUAAAGAAGCCCCGGCUAACUUCCUGCCAGCAGCCGCGGUAAU